Molecule: ribosomal RNA, 303 nt
Filed under: uncultured bacterium
Lineage: Bacteria
Description: partial 16S ribosomal RNA
Rfam family: Bacterial small subunit ribosomal RNA
Source: RNAcentral
AGCAGCAGCCGCGGUAACACAGAGGGUGCGAGCGUUAAUCGGAUUUACUGGGCGUAAAGCGUGCGUAGGCGGCUUUUUAAGUCGGAUGUGAAAUCCCUGAGCUUAACUUAGGAAUUGCAUUCGAUACUGGGAAGCUAGAGUAUGGGAGAGGAUGGUAGAAUUCCAGGUGUAGCGGUGAAAUGCGUAGAGAUCUGGAGGAAUACCGAUGGCGAAGGCAGCCAUCUGGCCUAAUACUGACGCUGAGGUACGAAAGCAUGGGGAGCAAACAGGAUUAGAUACCCCAGUAGUUCCUGUCUCUUAUAC